Molecule: unclassified non-coding RNA, 307 nt
Filed under: Sordariomycetes sp.
Lineage: Eukaryota; Fungi; Ascomycota; Sordariomycetes
Description: partial contains 5.8S ribosomal RNA, internal transcribed spacer 2, and large subunit ribosomal RNA
Rfam family: 5.8S ribosomal RNA (bases 1-71)
Source: RNAcentral
GUGAAUCAUCGAAUCUUUGAACGCAUAUUGCGCCCGCCAGUACUCUGGCGGGCAUGCCUGUUCGAGCGUCAUUUCACCCCUCAGGCCCUAAGCUGCCUGGCGUUGGGGCGCUGCGGCCCGUCCGCAGGCCCUCAAAUCUAGCGGCGGACCCGCCCGGCCCUGAGCGUAGUAGAAGAAAACCUCGCUCCGGCGGCCGUGGCGCGGCCCUGCCUACCCUCCCAACGUCGCGGUGAACGCGCCGUCCUCGAGUUGACCUCGGAUCAGGUAGGACUACCCGCUGAACUUAAGCAUAUCAAUAAGCGGAGGA